This 315-nucleotide long non-coding RNA is filed under the name Setaria viridis. RNAcentral describes it as "long non-coding RNA (SVIR_LNC004150)". Lineage: Eukaryota; Viridiplantae; Streptophyta; Magnoliopsida; Poales; Poaceae. The record is from RNAcentral.
ACAAAACCAAAACAUUUGAGAUAUCAUAUAUGCAGAUGAGACUAGUGGUUUGCAAAGAAUAUAUGCACCGACAAGGACACGUCAUGUCUGCAUUGGCAUGUUACAUUGCUCCGCUGCUCUACCACAUGAAUAAUGUCCGGCGGGAACUAUCACUACUCGAAAAAUAACCUCUCGUCCCGAGGUUUAGUACCGAUCACUUUUUGACCUGGUACUAAUGUUAGCAUUAGUACCGGAUCCAAAUUUGGGAUCCCUCGGAGGUCCUUUAGUACUGGGUGGGAACCCCACCCGGUACUAAAUCACCCGUUCGGAGCCCCC